RNAcentral lists this ribosomal RNA (492 nucleotides) under uncultured bacterium. RNAcentral's name for it is "bacterial SSU rRNA". It matches the Rfam family "Bacterial small subunit ribosomal RNA", at positions 29 to 509 of the family's 1533-position model. The record is from RNAcentral.
AGUGAACGCUGGCGGCAGGCCUAAUACAUGCAAGUCGAACGGCAGCACAGCAGAGCUUGCUCUGUGGGUGGCGAGUGGCGGACGGGUGAGGAAUACAUGGGAAUCUGCCCAGUCGUGGGGGAUAACGUAUGGAAACGUACGCUAAUACCGCAUGCGCCCUAAGGGGGAAAGCCGGGGACCGCAAGGCCUGGCGCGAUUGGAUGAGCCCAUGUUCGAUUAGCUGGUUGGCGGGGUAAAGGCCUACCAAGGCGACGAUCCGUAGCUGGUCUGAGAGGAUGAUCAGCCACACUGGAACUGAGACACGGUCCAGACUCCUACGGGAGGCAGCAGUAGGGAAUAUUGGACAAUGGGCGCAAGCCUGAUCCAGCCAUGCCGCGUGAGUGAAGAAGGCCCUCGGGUUGUAAAGCUCUUUUGUCCGGAAAGAAAAGCACUGGGUUAAUACCCCGGUGUCCUGACGGUACCGGAAGAAUAAGCACCGGCUAACUUCGUGCC